GCGGGUGUGGCGGAACUGGCAGACGCGCUAGAUUUAGGUUCUAGUGUCUUACGACGUGGGGGUUCGAGUCCCUUCACCCGCAC
Molecule: transfer RNA, 83 nt
Filed under: Lactiplantibacillus plantarum
Lineage: Bacteria; Bacillati; Bacillota; Bacilli; Lactobacillales; Lactobacillaceae
Also listed under: 8 other names
Description: Lactobacillus plantarum tRNA-Leu(tag)
Rfam family: tRNA
About the family: Transfer RNA (tRNA) molecules are approximately 80 nucleotides in length. Their secondary structure includes four short double-helical elements and three loops (D, anti-codon, and T loops).
Source: RNAcentral